CAGCAGCCGCGGUAAUACGGAGGAUGCAAGUGUUAUCCGGAAUCACUGGGCGUAAAGCGUCUGUAGGUGGUUUGAUAAGUCAACUGUUAAAUCUUGAGGCUCAACCUCAAAACCGCAGUCGAAACUAUUAGACUAGAGUAUAGUAGGGGUAAAGGGAAUUUCCAGUGGAGCGGUGAAAUGCGUAGAGAUUGGAAAGAACACCGAUGGCGAAGGCACUUUACUGGGCUAUUACUAACACUGAGAGACGAAAGCUAGGGUAGCAAAUGGGAUUAGAUACCCCAGUAGUCCUAGCUGUAAACAAUGGAUACUAGAUGUUGAACAGAUCGACCUGUGCAGUAUCAAAGCUAACGCGUUAAGUAUCCCGCCUGGGAAGUAUGCUCGCAAGAGUGAAACUCAAAGGAAUUGACGGA
This 410-nucleotide ribosomal RNA is filed under the name uncultured Nanofrustulum. RNAcentral describes it as "bacterial SSU rRNA". It matches the Rfam family "Bacterial small subunit ribosomal RNA", at positions 509 to 917 of the family's 1533-position model. The record is from RNAcentral. Lineage: Eukaryota; Bacillariophyta; Fragilariophyceae; Fragilariales; Fragilariaceae.